UGAGAUUGUGCAGCAGCAGGCACCCCCUUCCUACGGGCAGCUCAUUGCCCAGGGUGCCAUCCCACCUGUAGAAGACUUUCCUACAGAGAAUCCUAAUGAUGUAAAACUCAGUGCUGGGCAACCUGCGUUCUCUGCUACAGAUCUUACGCCAGGAUAUGACUCCAGGAGGUGGCCCAGGUGCCCGCCGUCGUCAGCGGGGCCGCUUGAUGCGACGCCUGGUACGCCGUCUCCGCCGCUGGGGCUUGCUCCCUCGAACCAACACCCCGGCUCGGGCCUCUGAGGCCAGAUCCCAGGUCACACCUUCUGCUGCUCCCCUUGAGGCCCUAGAUGGUGGCACAGGUCCAGCCCGUGAGGGCGGGGCAGUGGGUGGGCAAGAUGGGGAGCAGGCACCCCCACUGCCCAUCAAGGCUCCCCUCCCAUCUGCUAGCACGUCUCCAGCCCCCACUACUGUCCCUGAAGCCCCAGGGCCACUGCCCUCACUGCCCCUAGAGCCAUCACUAUUGUCUGGAGUGGUGCAGGCCCUGCGAGGCCGCCUGUUGCCCAGCCUGGGGCCCCCAGGACCAACCCGGAGCCCCCCUGGACCCCACACAGCAGUCCUGGCCCUGGAAGAUGAGGACGAUGUGCUACUGGUGCCACUGGCUGAGCCGGGGGUGUGGGUAGCUGAGGCAGAGGAUGAGCCACUGCUUACCUGAGGGGACCUGGGGGCUCUACUGAGGCCUCUCCCCUGGGGGCUCUACUCAUAGUGGCACAACCUUUUAGAGGUGGGUCAGCCUCCCCUCCACCACUUCCUUCCCUGUCCCUGGAUUUCAGGGACUUGGUGGGCCUCCCGUUGACCCUAUGUAGCUGCUAUAAAGUUAAGUGUCCCUCAGGCAGGGAGAGGGCUCACAGAGUCUCCUCUGUACGUGGCCAUGGCCAGACACCCCAGUCCCUUCACCACCACCUGCUCCCCACGCCACCACCAUUUGGGUGGCUGUUUUUAAAAAGUAAAGUUCUUAGAGGAUCAU
RNAcentral lists this long non-coding RNA (1004 nucleotides) under Homo sapiens (human). RNAcentral's name for it is "long non-coding RNA NONHSAT168170.1". The record is from RNAcentral. Lineage: Eukaryota; Metazoa; Chordata; Mammalia; Primates; Hominidae.